RNAcentral lists this long non-coding RNA (2221 nucleotides) under Equus caballus (horse). Its description in RNAcentral is "lncRNA (ENSECAG00000055039.1)". Lineage: Eukaryota; Metazoa; Chordata; Mammalia; Perissodactyla; Equidae. The record is from RNAcentral.
CGCCGCCCGGCGUCCACACGCGCCGCGCGCGGGAGCCGUCCGCGGCCGGUGUGGGAGGUGCCGCAGGGUCAGCCCACGUUCGUCGCGGACCCGGCGCCCAGCGGGUCGUCCGUGCCCCUGCUUCGGGGGUGGAAAGGAGGCGCCCGGGGCAGUAAGCGCGGUGGCGCGGGGCUUGGUCGUGCCGCCCCGAUCGAUUGGGGAAGGCGGAGGUCAAGUUCCACCUGCCCCCGCGCGCGCGGAAAUCCAGCUGGAAUUGCAGGGGAGCGCUCUGGAGGGGGCUCCGGGUACCGCAGAGAAGGGUGCAGAGGCCCCCCGCAUGCUUGCGCUCCUGGAACCUGCAUUACAGACUUGGCAUAGGUGGCCACGACUACAGGAAACGGGGAAAACAGGCUCGAGAGAGACUGGCCGCCACGGUGGUGUUGGGUCUUUCUGUAGAGUAUCUGUGGGCAUGAAUUCAGCCGUUCCCCCACCUCCCGGGCUCGAGUCUGGACCGGAGCUGAGUGCCGUGGGGUAUCCGUGGUUAGAGCCAGGACUCAGGGUCCCUGAAACUGCUGGGGGGCGUGCCAUACCAGUGAGGCUAGGGUGGGGUAGAGGGGCAGGGCAGGAGUGCCAGCGUGUGGUCAGAGUCCAGCUUUGGGAAGGUCACUGCGGCUGUGGUGAGGACAGUGGGCUAGUGGCGUGGAAAUGUGCCACUCGAAUGCCCUUUCAAGGAGGGUCUUCCUGACCAGCCUCCAGCUGCCAGCUCCUGCAGGGUCUGCCUCAGCUGCAGAGAGCCACCUCACUACUGAUCUCGCCCUUCCCUGGGACAGUCACAUCCAUGACUGAAGGCAUGGAGUACCAAGACCUGGUCAGUUCUGCCAGUGCCGGACUCGGGUAGGCAGCACUCAAUUCAGGGAAGCUGGCACGUCAGACUUCCCCGCCUCAACCAGCCACAAGCUUCAGCUGCUUCCCAUCACAGCAUCAGAGCUGGGACUGCCCAGGGCAUGCCAGGUCCUGGAGGAGGCCCUGCCCAGUGUCCCAGCUGAAAGGGAUUGGGAAUUGUUGACAAUUCCAUUCCAGAACUAAAUGGUGAGGUCCUGCUGCGUGCUGCACUUCGGCAUCCUGCACAACCAGAAGAGACAUCCUUUUCCCAGCAGCCUCUGCCAGGAUGUACCUCAGCCCACUGGGAGCCCUGGAAGGUGUCUAGCUGGGCGGUGGCCCAUUCAUAUUUGCAUUUGGCUAUCCUCAGGCUGUGGCGAGAAUAGGUGCCCUCUCUGGGCCCUUGGAUCCCUCUGGGGCACAAGCCUGAAGACUGGCUGCCUCCCCAGUGCCUUUUAAGCCCCUGCAGUACAGGAAAUACCACCAUAUCUCACUUGAGUUCAGAGAUUUGGAGUUGAGUCUUCUCUUCUGAAAAAAAACUCUACAUCGAGAAUAGUGCAAUCAAUUUGUAAAUUUAUUCAAAACAUGCAAGUGUGUGUUUGGAUUUUCUUGAAAAAAGUUAUUCGGGGCUGGCUGGUCUUUUCUCGCCCAGUGCAGGCCUCCCUGGGCCCAGGCCGGCUGUCUCACAGAGGGUCUGAGCCCUUGUCAGCCAGCCUGGGCAGGUGGACAGCCCCCACCACACACACACCAGGGGACUGGCCCCGUGGAGAGCGUAUUCCCCAGGACCUGUCACCCUCCGUCAGUGGAAGAAGAAAGACACUCCACAUGACUGCAGGAAGCCCCAACAGGAGUGGGGAGGAUGUCCAGCUUUGCCUCUCCAGCCCAGCCCUCUCCCCAGAGCUCCCAGUCUGUGAAGCUGACUGCCCACUGGACUUGACCCUUGGACAGCCACAGGUACCCACCCUGGGCAGAUACCGAACUGAACUUCCCCCUUCUCUUCCCCUCCCAUGGCAGGUCUUAGUUGGAAUCCUACUUUCUCCAGAAGUUCCCUCCGAAGGCUCUUGGGGAGAAUCUUUCCUUGCCUCCCUUGCCCCUUCCAGCUUCUGGUGGCCAGCAGUCCUCGCCUUUCUUUGGCUCGUGUCAGCAUCACUCCACUCCCAGGCUCCAUCUUCACGUGGCCUUCUCCCGUGUCUCCACCUGUCUCUGUUUUCUCUUAGAAGGAUACCAGUCGUUGGGUUGGCGCCCACCUAAUGACCUCAUCUUAACUGCAUUACAUCUGCAAAGACCCUUUUCCAAAUAAGGUCUCAUUCACAGACACAGGCGUUAGGAUUUGAACAUAUAUUUUGGGGGGACACAACUCAGC